Molecule: unclassified non-coding RNA, 292 nt
Filed under: uncultured Sphingobacteriaceae bacterium
Lineage: Bacteria; Pseudomonadati; Bacteroidota; Sphingobacteriia; Sphingobacteriales; Sphingobacteriaceae
Description: contains 16S-23S intergenic spacer region
Source: RNAcentral
GGACUACAGGGGUUUCUAAUCCUGUUUGAUCCCCACGCUUUCGAGCCUCAGCGUCAAUCAUAGCUUAGUAAGCUGCCUUCGCAAUCGGUGUUCUGUGACAUAUCUAUGCAUUUCACCGCUACUUGUCACAUUCCGCCUACCUCAACUAUAUUCAAGCCCAUCAGUAUCAAAGGCACUGCGAUGGUUGAGCCACCGUCUUUCACCCCUGACUUAAUAGGCCGCCUACGCUCCCUUUAAACCCAAUAAAUCCGGAUAACGCUUGGAUCCUCCGUAUUACCGCGGCUGCUGGCAC